Molecule: long non-coding RNA, 2333 nt
Filed under: Physcomitrium patens
Lineage: Eukaryota; Viridiplantae; Streptophyta; Bryopsida; Funariales; Funariaceae
Description: long non-coding RNA (PPAT_LNC000400)
Source: RNAcentral
UUGUAGAUUUUUGCUUGAGGAUGAUAUUUGUUGCUAUGGAUGUAUAAGAAAGAUUAUUGCAAAUUGUAGAGAAUUGGAUGCAUAUAAAGCUUGUGAAUUUUUAAAGAAAUAUAGAAUUAAAUUAUUAUUGAUUAUUAUUUAUAAUCCAGAAGAAAAUGCAAAGAGUAAACAUGGACAUCUAUCAAUUGUAAAAGCUUUGGUUAAAACUUGCAAUAGAAGAGUGAAGGAAUGGCCUCAACUUUUAUCUUAUGCAUUAUGAGUUGAUCAAACUAUACAUAGUUCAAUGAUAGAAUAUACACCAAUGAAACUCAUGACAAGUCAAAAACCUAUUAUGCCAAUUGAAGAACAUAUGUCAAGUUGGAGUGUGCUACAUUAGGAAGAUGAAUUGACAAGAGAAGAGUUGUUGGCUAUUACAUUUUGACAACUUGAACUGUUUAUGAGACAGGAUCAAAAUCAGAUUUUUAGCCAUUAAAAUAAUUGCUUAAAAUAAAGUAUGGAGAAAUUUGUAAAUUAAUAAUUAAGAUUACAGGACUAACUUAAAGCUUCUUCUAAAGAUAUAAAUAUUAUUUUUAUAAGCUUUGAAAUGAAUUUGCAAUUAUUGUUCAAAAUCAUAGUUUGUAUUGGUGACUUUGGAUUUAUGCAAUAAAAUCAGGGUUAGAAUUUUUACCUACUUUACGCAAUUGAUGUCACAUCUAUGGUUCAAAAUUUAAAAGUACUUGAUUAAUUAGGUAUAUUAAGUAUGUAUAAAAUUUUAUAUUAAUCUAUCAAUGUGGUUGAAAGAUAUCUGAUUUUUUUAUAUAAAUCAAUAUCAAAAAUUGGCAAGUUGAAGUUAGAUAGGAUUUUUAUGGUAUCUCAAGCUAUAUUCGUCAAAAUAAGAUGAAAUUUGGCAUAAUGUUAGAAGACUUGAAGAUUAAGCUAUAUAUCAAUUUUGAAUUAAAGUUAAUAAUUGAAGAAAGAAAAAUUGCUAUUGAAACAUCUGUAUUAACUUUCAAGUUGAUAGCCAAGUGACAUCUAUGCAAUUUUUUUUUAUAUUUCUUAUAAUCUGAGAGGCCAAAUUUCACCACUUGAUGAAACCUAUGCCACAUAACAAGUCCAAGAGGUGGAAUUGGAGAGCUACGAAUUGUGUAAUUAUUAGAUUAAUUUAAAUCUUUAUAUUAAAAAUUUAAUUAAUUUUAGGCCUUCCAAGCAAUGGUUACCAACAUUAAAUUAACAUGUUAAAUAAAAUUUACUAUGCAAACAUAAUAAAAAUAAUUAACUAAGUUAUUACUAUUAAUUGACCAUAAGAAUAAAAAUUUAAUUUUGAACUAAAAGCUAAGUUAAAAAUUAAGUUACAAAAAAGUUACUGUUAAAAAUUAAUAUUAAAAAAUUAUGUUAAAAUUUAAAAUUAAAAUGUUAAGUUAAAAGUUAAAAUUAAAAGGUUAAGUCAAAAAAAGUAAUUUAAAAGUUAAAAUUAAAGGUUAAGUGAAAAAUUAAAGUUAAAAGUUAAAAGUUAAACUUAAAAUUUAUUAGCCAAAUAGUGAAAUGUCGAGCUUACAAUUCACUGUGAAGACGAUAGUAAAAAUAAAGUGAGAGGUAAAAGCGAAGAUACCUUGACAACAUGUAAGGGUUGAAGGCAGGAACCCCCUUCUACUCCAAAAUUUGCCAAAAUUUGUAAUCGGCUUCAAUUGGAAUGAUUCUUAGCUUGUUGCAAGGCUGACUUGAAGACGCUUUUGAUCCAACAAUUCUUGUUGCAAUCUAAUGAUCCAAUCAUGAGAAUUCCUCCUUUGAAGUUGAGUGAUCCAAACUGCUGUGGUGACUAACCCUCUUCACUUAGAGAUUCACUAAAAAUUCAGAUUGUAUUAAAAUUCACCAAAUCUUAUGCUUUUCAGAGCUUAGCUUAUAAAUCUUGAUUCUCCCAAAAUUUCAAAUAAAUCCAAUCACUAGGCACAGAGAAAUACCUUUCCAAACUUGAUUGAUUCAAACUGCAAAGGCAAUCGACUCCCUCAAACUCAAAAAUUCACAAAAAAUUCCUUCUUAUUCCAAAUCAAGAAAAUCUUAUCUUUUUGGAAAGCUAACAACAAAAGCUACAACUAUUCAAAAUCUCACAUUGAGACAAUAGAAAUUGAGUGACUGACUAAAGAAAAUCCGAGGCCCCUGAAACCCUUGGGGUAUUUGAAAGGCUGAGGAGAUAUCUACCUCAAUGAAACAUAUUUUAAAACUUAAUGACCAUCCUUCACAAUACAAAAUCCAUACAUACACAAUCACAAGGUUCACAAUGAGAAUUAAAAUCUAAAUAAAAUUGAAAUUAGGGUUUCGGCCAAAUUUUGGCAUGGCUCCGCCCUUCACCCAAAAGA